GUCUACGGCCAUGCUACCCUAAACAAGCCUGAUCCUGUCUGAUCUCGGAAGCUAGGCAGGGUCGGGCCUGGUUAGUACUUGGGUGGGAGACCACCUAGGAAAAUCAGGUGCUGUAGGCA
This 119-nucleotide ribosomal RNA is filed under the name Pteropus alecto (black flying fox). The record is from RNAcentral. Lineage: Eukaryota; Metazoa; Chordata; Mammalia; Chiroptera; Pteropodidae.